This 496-nucleotide ribosomal RNA is filed under the name uncultured bacterium. Its description in RNAcentral is "partial 16S ribosomal RNA". It matches the Rfam family "Bacterial small subunit ribosomal RNA", at positions 29 to 507 of the family's 1533-position model. The record is from RNAcentral.
AUGAACGCUGGCGGCGUGCCUAAUACAUGCAAGUCGAGCGAACGGACGAGAAGCUUGCUUCUCUGAUGUUAGCGGCGGACGGGUGAGUAACACGUGGAUAACCUACCUAUAAGACUGGGAUAACUUCGGGAAACCGGAGCUGAUACCGGAUAAUAUUUUGAACCGCAUGGUUCAAAAGUGAAAGACGGUCUUGCUGUCACUUAUAGAUGGAUCCGCGCUGCAUUAGCUAGUUGGUAAGGUAACGGCUUACCAAGGCAACGAUGCAUAGCCGACCUGAGAGGGUGAUCGGCCACACUGGAACUGAGAUACGGUCCAGACUCCUACGGGAGGCAGCAGUAGGGAAUCUUCCGCAAUGGGCGAAAGCCUGACGGAGCAACGCCGCGUGAGUGAUGAAGGUCUUCGGAUCGUAAAACUCUGUUAUUAGGGAAGAACAUAUGUGUAAGUAACUGUGCACAUCUUGACGGUACCUAAUCAGAAAGCCACGGCUAACUACGUG